This 699-nucleotide ribosomal RNA is filed under the name uncultured bacterium. RNAcentral's name for it is "bacterial SSU rRNA". It matches the Rfam family "Bacterial small subunit ribosomal RNA", at positions 8 to 694 of the family's 1533-position model. The record is from RNAcentral.
AGAGUUUGAUCCUGGCUCAGAUUGAACGCUGGUGGUAUGCCUAACACAUGCAAGUCGAGCGGCAACGGACUCAAGGGUAACCUUGAGAGACGGCAAGCGGCGGACGGGUGCGUAACGCGUGGGAAUCUGCCCUAGAGUGGGGGACAACCUCUGGAAACGGAGGCUAAUACCGCAUGACGCCUUCGGGUGAAAGGUGGCCCCUUAAAAGGCUGCCGCUCUAGGAUGAGCCCGCGUUGGAUUAGCUUGUUGGUUAGGUAAUGGCUGACCAAGGCUGUGAUCCAUAGCUGUUCUGAGAGGAAGACCAGCCACACUGGGACUGAGACACGGCCCAGACUCCUACGGGAGGCAGCAGUGGGGAAUAUUGGACAAUGGGGGAAACCCUGAUCCAGCAAUACCAUGUGUGUGAAGAAGGCCUUAGGGUUGUAAAGCACUUUAGUUGGGGAAGAAAGGAGGAAGGUGAAUAGCUUUUCUCUGUGACGUUACCCAAAGAAUAAGCACCGGCUAACUCCGUGCCAGCAGCCGCGGUAAUACGGAGGGUGCGAGCGUUAAUCGGAAUGACUGGGCGUAAAGGGUCUGUAGGUGGCUCCGUAAGUCACAGGUGAAAACCCCGGGCUCAACCUGGGAACGGCCUGUGAUACUGCAGGGCUUGAGCGUAGCAGAGGAUCGGGGAAUUUCCGGUGUAGCGGUGAAAUGCGUAGA